CGCGUAGGUGGUUCUUCAAGUCAGAUGUUAAAUCUCCCGGCUUAACUGGGAGCUGUCAUCUGAUACUGCUGGACUUGAGGGUGGUAGAGGGAGGUGGAAUUCCCGGUGUAGUGGUGAAAUGCGUAGAUAUCGGGAGGAACACCAGUGGCGAAAGCGGCCUCCUAGGCCAUUCCUGACACUGAGGCGCGAAAGCGUGGGAGCGAACAGGAUCAGAUACCCUGGUAGUCCACGCCCUAAACUGUGGAAACUAGGUACAGGGAGUAUCGACCCUUCCUGCGCCGUAGCUAACGCGUUAAGUUUCCCGCCUGGGGACUACGGUCGCAAGACUAAA
This 331-nucleotide ribosomal RNA is filed under the name uncultured bacterium. Its description in RNAcentral is "bacterial SSU rRNA". It matches the Rfam family "Bacterial small subunit ribosomal RNA", at positions 568 to 898 of the family's 1533-position model. The record is from RNAcentral.